This 398-nucleotide ribosomal RNA is filed under the name uncultured bacterium. Its description in RNAcentral is "partial 16S ribosomal RNA". It matches the Rfam family "Bacterial small subunit ribosomal RNA", at positions 360 to 776 of the family's 1533-position model. The record is from RNAcentral.
AAUAUUUCACAAUGGAGGAAACUCUGAUGCAGCGACGCCGCGUGAACGAUGAAGGCUNNNGAGUCNUAAAGUUCUGUCCUAGGNGAGNAUAAUGACGGUACCCUAAGAGGAAGCCUCGGCUAACUACGGGGCAGCAGCCGCGGUAAUACGUAGGGGGCAAGCGUUGUCCGGAUUUAUUGGGCGUAAAGGGUUCGCAGGCGGCCUUUUAAGUCAGGUGUGAAAAACUACAGCUCAACUGUGGUAAGCACUUGAAACUGGAAGGCUUGAGUUAAGGAGAGGAAAGUGGAAUUCCUAGUGUAGCGGUGAAAUGCGUAGAUAUUAGGAGGAAUACCAGUGGCGAAGGCGACUUUCUGGACUUAUACUGACGCUGAGGAACGAAAGCGUGGGGAGCAAACAGG